UCCACCAACUUUACAAAUUACACAUCUCUAUUAAAAAAUACGGAUAACCACCUUUAAUAAGGUCAUUCUUCUCAACUACAUCUUUUCCACAACAAGUUUGAACUUGAAAUCUUGCUAAAAAGAUUUAAGUCAAAUUACAUUCAAAUCAAUGUAACCAUAGUUUUUAUGAUAUUUUAAAAAUAAAAGAGAUAAACUAUUAUAGGUAAAUACUAAGAGGAGAUAAAUUUGUUAGCAGCAAAUAUAGAACUCUAAAUCCCCUCAUAAUACAACUUCCCUACACAACAUGAGUAUUAGAUAUUUUUGCAUAUAAACUCAAGAAAUAGAAGUUAGUAUAAAUAUAGAAAAACAGAUAUACUAGAUGCUUAAAAAGAAAGGCUAAAACAAAGGUCCUACACUUUUUGUUCUGUACCUCUCAAAAAUCUCAUCACAUUUAUUUAUUUGUAUAUAUGAAUAUAUCUGUCGUUUGUGUUUUACAGCCUCGACACACCUCAAAUAGUAAAACAAAAUCUAUCUUUAAUUUCUAGCCUCUUUCUUCUCUCUCUCUCUAUUUUUCUUACCCUCUUAUUCACAAUUUCAUUACAACCCUUGAAUCAUAAGUACAAAUAUUCAUAUCUCUAUCACAAUCUAUCUCUCUAUAUCAUUGUCACAUUUUUUAUAUUCAUACAUACAUAAACAUCUAUCUAAUAUGCAAAUGAAUAGGAAAUUGAUGCAAUGGAGUACACAAAUUCUCAUGACCCUUUUAUUGAUUCAAAUCAUUCAUGUUCAUAGCAUGAACAACAAUGAGGAAGAUCAUGAAGAGCAUGAGAAUAUGGAGAAGAUGAGUCUAGAACUUAUCCAUAGGCAUGAUUCAAGAUUUCUUGGUGAGGUAGAUCAAGUUGAAGCUAUACAAGGGUUCAUCAAAAGGGAUAUGAAUAGAAGGGAAAUGAUGGAUCAAAGAAUAGCAAUGAAUGAAGGUUAUAAUAAUAGAAGAAAAGACAUUGAAAUGAAACAAGAUUUUGAAUUUUCAAUGCAUUCAGGAAGAGAUGUUGAAAUUGGUGAAUAUUUUGUUGGUGUUACAGUUGGAACACCAGGUCAAAAGUUUUGGCUUAUUGCUGAUACAGGAAGUGAGUUAACAUGGUUUAAAUGUAUGAAAAAGGUUCAUCAUAAUCACCAACAUAAACAUAAACAUAAUAAACAUAAAGGAGGGUCAAAAAAAAAAUCAAGAACAAAAUCUCAUACAACAACAAGAAGAAGGGCUCAUUCUCAUAAUCCUUGUGAUGAUGCAUUUUGUCCACAUCGUUCUCAUACAUUUCAUCAAAUUUCUUGUGCAUCUAAAAUGUGCUUGGCUGAACUACCUUAUUGUUUGUCUGAUUGUCAAAGUCCUUCUGAUCCAUGCCUCUAUGAAGUCAGGUUUGUUUAUUUUCUUCCUCUUUUUGCUAGGUGUUUGAAAUAUUCAAAAUUGUUUUGUGGGGGUGUUGGAAGUAGAUUAAUAGGAUUGUUUUGGAGAACAAAAAAUUAGAAUACAUAGGCAAAAAAAUUUCAGAGAGACAAACUUUUCA
Molecule: long non-coding RNA, 1538 nt
Filed under: Medicago truncatula (barrel medic)
Lineage: Eukaryota; Viridiplantae; Streptophyta; Magnoliopsida; Fabales; Fabaceae
Description: long non-coding RNA (MTRU_LNC008582)
Source: RNAcentral